This 507-nucleotide ribosomal RNA is filed under the name Escherichia coli. RNAcentral describes it as "partial 23S ribosomal RNA". It matches the Rfam family "Bacterial large subunit ribosomal RNA", at positions 2415 to 2916 of the family's 2925-position model. Lineage: Bacteria; Pseudomonadati; Pseudomonadota; Gammaproteobacteria; Enterobacterales; Enterobacteriaceae. The record is from RNAcentral.
GUGAUCCGGUGGUUCUGAAUGGAAGGGCCAUCGCUCAACGGAUAAAAGGUACUCCGGGGAUAACAGGCUGAUACCGCCCAAGAGUUCAUAUCGACGGCGGUGUUUGGCACCUCGAUGUCGGCUCAUCACAUCCUGGGGCUGAAGUAGGUCCCAAGGGUAUGGCUGUUCGCCAUUUAAAGUGGUACGCGAGCUGGGUUUAGAACGUCGUGAGACAGUUCGGUCCCUAUCUGCCGUGGGCGCUGGAGAACUGAGGGGGGCUGCUCCUAGUACGAGAGGACCGGAGUGGACGCAUCACUGGUGUUCGGGUUGUCAUGCCAAUGGCACUGCCCGGUAGCUAAAUGCGGAAGAGAUAAGUGCUGAAAGCAUCUAAGCACGAAACUUGCCCCGAGAUGAGUUCUCCCUGAGACUUUAAGUCUCCUGAAGGAACGUUGAAGACGACGACGUUGAUAGGCCGGGUGUGUAAGCGCAGCGAUGCGUUGAGCUAACCGGUACUAAUGAACCGUGAGG